RNAcentral lists this ribosomal RNA (1368 nucleotides) under uncultured marine eukaryote. RNAcentral's name for it is "bacterial SSU rRNA". It matches the Rfam family "Bacterial small subunit ribosomal RNA". The record is from RNAcentral.
GAGUUUGAUCCUGGCUCAGGAUGAACGCUGGCGGUACGCCUAACACAUGCAAGUCGUACGAAAGUUUUAACUUUAGUGGCGAACGGGUGAGUAGUACGUGAGAAUCUACCCCUUGAGUCGAGGAUAACGUCUGGAAACGGUCGCUAAUACUCGAUAGGUGAAGAGAGACAUUAUGAAACGUUCUUCAUGAAAAACGAAGCUUUUCGUUGCCAAGGGAUGAGCUCGCGCUUGAUUAGCUAGUUGGUGAGGUAAUUGCUCACCAAGGCCACGAUCAAUAGCUGGUUUGAGAGAAUGGCCAGCCACAUUGGGACUGAGACACGGCCCAGACUCCUACGGGAGGCAGCAGUGAGGAAUUUUCCGCAAUGGGCGAAAGCCUGACGGAGCGAUACCGCGUGGAGGAUGAAGGACUUUGGUUUGUAAACUCCUUUUCUUAAGGAAGAAAGACUGAGCUAAGUACGUUCCAUAUUAUUGACGUACCCUAUUGUGCUUGACGUUACUUGAGGAAUAAGCAUCGGCUAACUCCGUGCCAGCAGCCGCGGUAAUACGGGGGAUGCAAGCGUUAUCCGGAAUUAUUGGGCGUAAAGCGCCUGUAGGUUGUUUAGUAAGUCUAUUGUUAAAGGCUAGGGCUUAACCCUAGAUAGGCAGUAGAAACUACUAUGACUAGAGAGUAGUAGGGGUAGAGGGAAUUUCUAGUGGAGCGGUGAAAUGCGUAGAUAUUAGAAGGAACACCGGUGGCGAAGGCGCUCUACUGGGCUAUUCUGACACUCAGAGGCGAAAGCUAGGGGAGCAAAAGGGAUUAGAGACCCCUGUAGUCCUAGCCGUAAACGAUGAAUACUAGCCAUUGUUAUGCGAAAAAGUGGCGAAGCUAACGCGUUAAGUAUUCCGCCUGGGGAGUACGCUCGCAAGGGUGAAACUCAAAGGAAUUGACGGGGGCCCGCACAAGCGGUGGAGCAUGUGGUUUAAUUCGAUGCAACGCGAAGAACCUUACCAGGACUUGACAGUACAGGUGGUGCAUGGCUGUCGUCAGCUCGUGUCGUGAGAUGUUGGGUUAAGUUCCGCAACGAGCGCAACCCUUAUUUUUAGUUGUUUAUAGUAUGAGUAAAGAAAACUAAAAAGACUGCCGUCGAUAAGUCGGAGGAAGGUGAGGAUGACGUCAAGUCAGUAUGCCCCUUAUGUCCUGGGCUACACACGUGCUACAAUAGUUAAGAACAAUGGGCUGCAAACUCGCGAGAGGGAGCUAAUCCCUAAACUUAACCUCAGUUCAGAUUGUAGGCUGCAACUCGCCUGCAUGAAGAUGGAAUCGCUAGUAAUCGCUGGUCAGCUACACAGCGGUGAAUUGUUUCCGGGCCUUGUACACACCCGCCCGUC